Molecule: long non-coding RNA, 340 nt
Filed under: Mus musculus (house mouse)
Lineage: Eukaryota; Metazoa; Chordata; Mammalia; Rodentia; Muridae
Description: predicted gene 14221
Source: RNAcentral
AGAUAGCGGGGAGUCCUUCAGCUGGACACAGAAAGAACAGACAUGGGAGGCAGCUGUGUGUGACCCAGAACUUGGAGGCCAGCCCAACCCGGCUAACCCACAGACCCCGGGUGAGAAAUGAAAUGUUCACUGUUAUGCAUACAGAGCCUCACAAUGUAGCCCUGAAUGGCUGGAACUCCUUGUAUACCAGGCUGGCCUUGACAUCACAGAUAUCGGCUCAUCUCUGCUUCCUAGGUACGGGGAUUAAAGACGUUAGUCAACCACAGCUUGCCAAAGGGCCUGGAGGUAGGGGACCACCACUACCUGUGUGUUCUUGGUCUGGGAGGUGACCCUGGCAGUG